This 253-nucleotide ribosomal RNA is filed under the name uncultured bacterium. RNAcentral describes it as "partial 16S ribosomal RNA". It matches the Rfam family "Bacterial small subunit ribosomal RNA", at positions 524 to 776 of the family's 1533-position model. The record is from RNAcentral.
UACGUAGGGUGCAAGCGUUAAUCGGAAUUACUGGGCGUAAAGCGUGCGCAGGCGGUUUUGUAAGUCUGUCGUGAAAUCCCCAGGCUUAACCUGGGAAGUGCGCGGAAAACUGGCGAGCUUGAGUGCCGGAGAGGGUCGCGGAAUUCCCGGUGUAGAGGUGAAAUUCGUAGAUAUCGGGAGGAACACCAGUGGCGAAGGCGGCGACCUGGACGGACACUGACGCUGAGACGCGAAAGCGUGGGGAGCAACAGGG